This 248-nucleotide signal recognition particle RNA is filed under the name Vombatus ursinus (common wombat). RNAcentral describes it as "Metazoan signal recognition particle RNA (ENSVURG00010015371.1)". It matches the Rfam family "Metazoan signal recognition particle RNA". From Rfam's summary of the family: The signal recognition particle (SRP) is a universally conserved ribonucleoprotein. It is involved in the co-translational targeting of proteins to membranes. The record is from Rfam by way of RNAcentral. Lineage: Eukaryota; Metazoa; Chordata; Mammalia; Diprotodontia; Vombatidae.
ACUGGGUGUGCUGAAGCCCCCCUGUAAUCUGGCUACCAGGGAGGCUGAGGCUGGUAGAUGGCUUGGAGCUGCAGUGAGCUAAGCUGAUAGAGUGUCCUCACUAAGUUUGGCAUUAAUGUGGUGAGCAACCAGGUUGCCUAGGGAGAGGUGAAUUGGCUCAGGUCGGAAAGGGAGGUCAAAACUCUCAUGCCAAUUAGUAGUGAGACUGGACCUGUGAGGUUGGGUUAGACAGGGAGGGCCAGUCUUUA